This 5518-nucleotide unclassified non-coding RNA is filed under the name Hevea brasiliensis (rubber tree). The record is from RNAcentral. Lineage: Eukaryota; Viridiplantae; Streptophyta; Magnoliopsida; Malpighiales; Euphorbiaceae.
AUUUUUUUGGCUAUUCUAAUUCUUUGCAUUGUCAAUUUUAUAUACGUAUCAUUAAUUGAACAGGCAAUCACAAAGUGACCCACAUGAAACAAUGGUGGGUGAUUAGUUCAUACAAAUAUUGACAGCCAACAAAUUGAAGAAACAAAAGACAGGGAAAAUAAGCCGAUAGGCUCAUUUGCUAAAAGAAAUUUGAGAAGAAACCAAGUCAUUUGAAAUACGCAACGUAAUGAACAACUCAGUUUCCUGCACAAUAGGUAUCAUACCUUGUAUUAGAAGCCCUUAGACACUGCCAUAAUUUCUGAAUGAUUUCAAACGCCAAAACCAUCAAAGCUCGGAGUUCAACUCCAUGUUAUCCGUGUCAGCUCCAUGAGACUUUUUCAACUUUGCCACAAGAACCCACAUGUUGGCAAGUUCAUUUUCAAGAUAAGCUUCUCUUUGCUUGGAUUCCUCCACCUUCCUUUGAAGUUCAGCCUCUCGUUGAUCUUUCUCUAACAGAGCAGCUUCAUAUUGUACUUCUCUUUCUCGACUCAUGGCCAAUUCUUUUUUCAGUUCUGAUGCUGCUGGCCCAACUUGGUCUUGGCGUUUCAUGUUAUUAUCUCUUCUGCCAUUCCGGACUGUGCUACUUGUUCUACGCUGUGUGGGCGAGUUCUUUUGUGCUGCCAGAUCAGCAGCUAGUCUCUCAUUUUGAUUCAUGAGCUUGGCAACUUCUUCUGACAAUGCCUUGAGCUCAACAGCAGCAGCUGAGGCUAGCCCUUUCGCAUAUGAACUCUCAUCUGCCAAUUUUUGGUUCCGGGUUUCUAGUUGUUCUUUUGACUCUGUCAGCAUAGCAACCUUUUGCUUCAGUUCUUCAAUCUCAGUGGCCUGAGCUUGUCGAAGCAAAUCUUUGUUUCUAUCUUUUGUCACUGCAAUUUCCUUGUCAACCUGAUGAUGCGCAUGAAAGCUUUUUAGUUCAGAAAAUCGCUGUGAGUAACCGGGUAGAGGACUAAGAUUUCUCAACUCUAGCGCAUCAGAGAGCUGCUGCUUCAAAGAGACAAUUGUCUCCUGCAAUCCUUCACAUUCACAAAUCUUUUGGUUGAGUUGCUCCUGAAUUAUCCGAUUAUCUGCAGCUUUAACCUGAAAAGAGGAAUGAUAGGAAUCACUUAUCAGAAAAAUUAAGAAAUCAGAUGACUAAAAGCAGAAUACGUGGAUAGAUUAUUGACUAGGAAGUUUAUAAACAACACAGGAAAUUCUCAGUGCUGCAUUUUAUAUGUACAUAUUGGCAUGAGACAGGUGUAUUCAUAUGAGGUACAUUCACUAGCACUAUUAUGAUUUCAAAAAAUUAUUUUGAGGUUUGCAUUCAUGACUCCAAUUUUUUACAUAAGAUUACCUCAGAUAGAAGAUGAAGCAUCCAAAAAUCUUAAGAAUUAAGAAGCAAGUUCAUAUAAUUUUAUUUCAAAUGGUUAUCAAACACAUCCUUAACAAGUAGUGCAUACACUAAAGAAAUCAAACUCAUGUCAAACAGUAUAAUAUAGAUCACCUCAAGUUCGAAUGACUUCUCAUUCAAUUGUGCUGUCAGUUCAGCAAUUGUCUGCAGCGUAAAACAACUGAGAGCUUAAAAAUAGACUUGCAACCAUAGAUAAGCAGUUUGCGCAACCAUAAUUGAAGCUAAACUUACUUGUGAUACUUCCAAAUUAUCUAUCUUAUUGUGUGAUGCCAUGAUGGAAUUGGCAAUUUGGUUUUCCAGCAAAGAAAUUUGUUCUUUCUUGACCUUGAUUUCAUUAUUCAACCUCUUCAUCUCCACAUGAAUCUGUUCCUUUUGGGGAUUCCUUGAAGCCUCCUCCGAUAACCGCUUCAAAGCACUUGAAUGGAGUGCCACAUCUCCAGACAAAAUCUUCUGCUGCUCCCUUAGAAGAUCAAUCUGAUCAAUUGUUUUUAUGCUUGUCGAAGGAGUUUCUUGCACAAGGAAAUUGUCCCCAGGAACUUCUCUAUCUGGUCUAACCUCAGAUAGAAGAUCAGCUGAUGGAGAGCUUUCUGUGAGAAAAGGAUUUGAAAAUCUAGAUUCGGUAUGAAAGUUGCUGUUUUCCGCUUGAGGUGUUGAAGGUGUACUAUUAGAUUUUACACCACUUGAUUUAUCACUAGCUGUCCCCAACCCACUAUCUCGUUUCCGUAGCUUUAACCAGUUUAGCAAUCCGUGUUUCCGGGAUUUCUUCUCCUCCCUAAGUGUAUCAUCUGUAGUUUCACAGUUCCCUUCAAGAGAAACAUACAAUUCAAUGUUUUCAUCAUCCAACAUAAAGUCUCGCCUUUUGUAUGGUAGGUAUGCAAGCUCUUCUUCUCCAAAGGAAUGUCUCCUCCUUGGACCAGGGCGGUGAGGAAACCUUGAUGAUUGUGAAGCUUUAGAGGAGACCAAAAUUAACUUUGUCAAGCGUUGUAUUCUACUCAAUAGAGCUGCUUUGGCUUCUUCUUCUUGUUCCAAUCUAGAUUGCAACUUAACUUGACCAUCUUCUAGCUUCUGUUUUAGGACGACAAUAUCAUCUUCCACCAUAUCUUUCAAUUGGGGAACUGUCACAAUACCCUUCUUCAAUUGUUCUAAUUCUUCCUUCAAAGAGCGUAUCUCAUUUUGAUACUUCUUGAUAAGUGAUUUCUCAUCAAUAAUCUUAUUCUGUGCUGCUUGAAUUUCGAUGUGCUUAGCACGAUGGGCAAAUUUCAAAGUAUUAUGUGUCUCUUCGGAACUGCCUGAUGAAGGAGUGACAGUGCAAAUAAGUGAUACGCGGCCAUGACCGCUUAAUGAAGACUGAAGAAGCCUGGUUAGUUUAGAGUCCCUGUAUGGAAUAUGAGAGGCCCUCCCAUCUGUCAACUUUGAUAUAACAGUUCCAAGUGUUAGCAGGCUCUUAUUAAUGUAGGAUCCUUCUUUCCAUCUCACACCAGUAGUCUCAGCCUUUGAACUUUCUGAACCUGCCAGAUCGAUGAGGUUCAGUUGAGACAAAUUUACUGCUUGUCCUUCACUAUUUUCACCACAUGGGCUACUCUCUAUUGUCAGUGUAAAUAUGGAAUGGCUCCGGCUGCUGAGUAAAUUAAAAUUUGUAGAUCCAACAUGUCUAUGCUCUUCUCCAGCUGCUAUAAGGGAAAGGGCAUGAGCAGGGGAUAAUACAACUUCUUCCUUUAUUCCUUCAACAAAGGUUCCCUGAGCAUCUUCUCUAAUUCUUAAAUUUUGUCCUGCUGGAUUUAACAAGUCAUUAACAACCUCAUUAUAGAUCUCAAGGUAGGAAACACGAAGAAGAAACUCUCGGUUUGGUGUCUCUUGAAUAAUACUAAAAGCAUCCUUCACAGCCAAUGGUAUAAUUCCAGGGGACCUCUGAUCACCAUGCAUUGUAUGAGUUUUCCCACUGCUUGUUACACCAUAUGCAAAAAUCGUUCCAUUGAUGCCUUCCAUAGAACCACUGACAACAUGCUGAGCAGCAACAUCAUACACAUGGCGUGUUGUAGUUGUAGGGCCAAACACCCGAUCAUAUGCAUAUGCGAUGGACGGAUUAUGUUCAUUUCUGACAAUAGUUUCUCCAUCAGCAUACCAAGCAAUCUCCUCUCCUUGACGAAUUUCCCUAGGACUUAAUGGGCGAAAGCGAACAGUGACGGUAACGUUUUCCUUGGAUCUCUCCCCAUCCAAAGGCACGUUUUCUGAGUAAAAAUACCGUGGUUUGCUGCGAGCAGAGGAUGAUCCAGGGGAGCUCUGACCGUCUAUGGAUGUUUCUAGAAAUUGUUUUGAAGAUGAUGUCGUUGAAGAAGAACGAGAAUUAGCAGCUUUUGAACUGACUGAACCUAACCUCUUCGAUUUUGAUCCUUGUUUCGACGCCAUUAACGAACCAACUCAACCUCUUAAUCGAGAAUAGAAAAAGAGAAAUGUUGAGAGGAAAAAGAGAGAAAUGUGCAUGGAAAGGAAGGAGAGUCCUGUAGAUAGAGAUCUUUUUCGAAGAGAGAAAGAGAGAUUAGUACAGCUUGGAUCUACAAGAAGAGACAGAGAGAGAGAUAAUGAGUGUAGAAGAAGAACAUCAUCAUCAUCAUCAUAUCAGUCCUCUGGUCAGAGGUCUUAGAGAGAGAGAGAGAGAGAAAUGAAUGACAUUUAUAGGGUGCAGAAUGCUAUUAAUUCCAACCUUUAGAGCAGACCCAUAUACAUACACGAAACUUAAAGUUACAAACCAAACUACCUAAAUAAUCUGCACAGAAGUUAACUCAAGAAGCUAGAAGUAAGUUACCUAAGGAGUUUUAAUAAGUCUUCACAGAGCUCAAACUUGGGCUGUUUAUUGGAUGAGCUUUAUUGAACUUGGCUCAUUAAUUUUAAUGUACAAAUUUAAUUAACCUUUUAUCGAGUCAAGUAUCAAGUUGCUGAACUCAUUUGCAAUCCUAGUGGAAACUCUAGGAAAAAGAGUUAAAGAAAAAAAAAGGCCCCUUCUGCUCUCUUUUCUCAAAUUCAGGCUCAAAUAAACAAGUAAGACUUCUCCCUUCACAUUUACAAAUCUUCCAUUCAGAGAUCUAAAGAUCACUCUUAAUUGCAUUCAAAGAAAGGCCACAAAUUAUUGUCCUUAAUAGUUCAUUCCACAACAGAUCAAGUCUUCUUCUUUAACAUUCCCAAUGCUCCUUACAUCUUCUCUGCCUCUUGCUUACACAGAAUUUCACUUGACACUUCUGUUGCAAGUUAGCAUUGUUAUAUGUUCAGUUUAUAUCUCCAAUCUCCAAAUUGCCAAAACAGGGGAACUUUCCACCUUUGCAUAACUAUAAGGAGUUGGAUCAGUUUAGCAUAAUCUUACCAUUCAAACUCCUUUCCACUUAACUGUCAAAUAUCUCCAAACAUGUGCAUAAGCCCAGCCCUAAAAAGAGGGCUCAACUUUGCUCCAAUUCUAUGCUUUCAAUUAUAGCUUGGUAAAUUUUGCUAAUGUUCAACAAUCCUAUGUUUUAGGGCGUGAUGAGAGAAAAAUCAAGAACUUUUUAUUCUCACCUUCUCUCUUAAGAAACCUUCUGCAUAUAAUCCAGAACAGAUUGUAUCACAAAUGAGUAAAAGCCUUUUUGUUAUUAUUCUUUCCAUAAAUUUUAGAAAAUCACAAACCGUGUAAGACCAGUUUCAAGCAUUCAUUGUUUCUCACCACUUGCCUUGUAUACAUAGGAGGUAUCUCCCUCUAGAUUUUUCCUUCACACUUACUAUGAUAAGGUUUCAUUUAUUAACCCCUAAUAAAAUUUCCUGUAAAUAAUACCUCUGACCCUUGCAUUUUUUGAACAAUAACUAACUAUACUAGCGACAAAAAAUUUACAGCAAGACUCCUACCUCUAUUGCUGUUUUAAGUAUAUUUCAUCCCAAUGCAUGCUUUAAAUGCCUAUACAAAGAGUAAUUAUACAGCUACAUACAAAACUAGCUUGCAGACAUGCAACAUGUCACCUUAAAAACAAUAUAGUGAUCAAUUUCCAGAAUAAAUUGCAACAUCAUGUGAACAUGUCAUAAAAUUACAAGCUCCAUCCAUCAGUUAUUUACCUGAAGCAGAAGUCUUCACAGGUG